This is a non-coding RNA of Tannerella sp. CAG:51, 34 nucleotides long. The record is from Rfam. Lineage: Bacteria; Pseudomonadati; Bacteroidota; Bacteroidia; Bacteroidales; Tannerellaceae.
GAUUGCAUUUUUCUCCUCUCUGCAAUCGCGGCUG